This 18-nucleotide small nuclear RNA is filed under the name Arabidopsis thaliana (thale cress). RNAcentral's name for it is "snRNA_11172". The record is from RNAcentral. Lineage: Eukaryota; Viridiplantae; Streptophyta; Magnoliopsida; Brassicales; Brassicaceae.
UGCAGCACGCGCCUAACG